AGUACCAUGCUGUUCAUAUUGUAUUGGAAAGUAACGCAGCAAUACAAGUAAGAGUGACAAUAAUCGAACAUGGAAUUGCUUCUUUCAGUUGAGUAAAAUAAAAAAAUUAUAGAGAUAUGCUUGGACUGACUGUGUGCAAGACACGGCAACAAAAUUUGAAUGUGCAACAAAACACACAAGACAGCAACAAGCGUAAUCGGAAUUCGAAUUGAACCAACGACCUAAUCACGAACCAGUAUGAAACACGAACGGCAACCUCGAAGCUUGACGGAACUUGGGGCCUUUUAUUUGACAGUUGAUUUUGCUGCUUUCUUGGCUUGUUUUCGUUGCUGAUUUUCAGCUUUCCAUCCCAGAAAAUGGGGUGCAAUUGGAUGUUCUAGUUUUGAAGAUGCUGGAGAUGGUCAGGCAUGAUGGGGAGGUCGUUUGGGUGAGGAAGGAAGAAGAUGAGAUCGUGAGAAGGGGGCCCGGGGGUCUGAUUUUCGACACAACUUUUCAGAUUAUCGG
RNAcentral lists this long non-coding RNA (504 nucleotides) under Nicotiana benthamiana. Its description in RNAcentral is "long non-coding RNA (NBEN_LNC015328)". Lineage: Eukaryota; Viridiplantae; Streptophyta; Magnoliopsida; Solanales; Solanaceae. The record is from RNAcentral.